Molecule: ribosomal RNA, 311 nt
Filed under: uncultured bacterium
Lineage: Bacteria
Description: bacterial SSU rRNA
Rfam family: Bacterial small subunit ribosomal RNA
Source: RNAcentral
AUUGAACGCUGGCGGCAGGCCUAACACACGCAAGUCGAACGGUAACAGGAAGCAGCUUGCUGCUUCGCUGACGAGUGGCGGACGGGUGAGUAAUGUCUGGGAAACUGCCUGAUGGAGGGGGAUAACUACUGGAAACGGUAGCUAAUACCGCAUAACGUCGCAAGACCAAAAGAGGGGGACCUUCGGGCCUCUUGCCAUCGGAUGUGCCCAGAUGGGAUUAGCUAGUAGGCGGGGUAACGGCUCACCUAGGCGACGAUCCCUAGCUGGUCUGAGAGGAUGGCCAGCCACACUGGAACUGAGACACGGUCCAG